GUUGUCAGAUAUGUUAUGGAAAUUAGAUUUGUUUUAAAAAAUUAAAAAUCAUAUGAACAAUUAAUCAGUUAGUUUUUACGGUUGAAUCGAUCUUAUUUUCAUGUCGGGCCCUUUUAUAGUUGACUAUAUGGUUGGGAGUUUUCUUAAUAUUGAAGGCCAUGCAGUGAUCACAUUUGCGUAUAUCCAUGUUCUUUGAACUCUGCUUGGUUGUUGCCUCGUUAGCAAUCAUACCAAUUUCCUUAUUUUUAUAUAAAAGGUUCACAGCAAAAGUUAUUGUUCUUGUGAAGCUGUCCUUUAUUGCAUGCUUAUACGUACAUGAUGGAAAUUAUAAGUCUUGGAGAAGUAGAAUACACUUUUGAGUUAUUAUUUUUUUUUUACAAGUUACUAUGCAGAAUGGGAUAAAUCC
This 406-nucleotide long non-coding RNA is filed under the name Mytilus galloprovincialis (Mediterranean mussel). Lineage: Eukaryota; Metazoa; Mollusca; Bivalvia; Mytilida; Mytilidae. The record is from RNAcentral.